UCGGAGGUUCGAAUCCUUCCGUCCCAG
RNAcentral lists this transfer RNA (27 nucleotides) under Zieria smithii. Its description in RNAcentral is "partial tRNA-Gln". RNAcentral also lists the same sequence under 1 other name. The record is from RNAcentral. Lineage: Eukaryota; Viridiplantae; Streptophyta; Magnoliopsida; Sapindales; Rutaceae.